This 62-nucleotide transfer RNA is filed under the name Aphis coreopsidis. Its description in RNAcentral is "tRNA-Asp". The record is from RNAcentral. Lineage: Eukaryota; Metazoa; Arthropoda; Insecta; Hemiptera; Aphididae.
AAGAGAUUAGUUAAAACAUAACAUUAAUUUGUCAAAUUAAAAUUAUUAAUAAAUAUCACUUA